UACAAACCACACAGCACAAUUUUCUAUUUUUUAUUUAUUUUACCGAUAACAAUUUUCCUGUCCUGCUAAGCAUUCAAAAUGUAACACAUCUUUUGGGUGUCAGGGGGAAAAUUAUGGAGUAAAAAGUUAUUUUCUUUAUUUUACAUUAUUUAGUUUAGGAAUGUAGUGAAGUAAAAGUAUACAUUGUUAUAAAUAUGAAUAGUGAAGUCAAGUACAGAUACCCCCCAAAACUACUUAAGUUGUACUUUAAAGUAUUUUUUACUUCACACCACUUCAGCAGACUCAGAAACAAACCAAUAGAGAGAGUGGCAGGUAGUAGAGGUCAUGACAUAAACAAACCAAUAGAGAGAGUGGCAGGUAGUAGAGGUCAUGAUAUAAACUAACCAAUAGAGAGAGAGUGGCAGGUAGUAGAGGUCAUGACAUAAACAAACCAAUAGAGAGAGUGGCAGGUAGUAGAGGUCAUGAUAUAAACUAACCAAUAGAGAGAGAGUGGCAGGUAGUAGAGGUCAUGACAUAAACAAACCAAUAGAGAGAGUGGCAGGUAGUAGAGGUCAUGACAUAAACAAACCAAUAGAGAGAGAGUGGCAGGUAGUAGAGGUCAUGACAUAAACAAACCAAUAGAGAGAGUGGCAGGUAGUUGAGGUCAUGAUAUAAACAAACCAAUAGAGAGAGUGGCAGGUAGUAGAGGUCAUGACAUAAACAAACCAAUAGAGAGAGUGGCAGGUAGUAGAGGUCAUGACAUAAACAAACCAAUAGAGAGAGUGGCAGGUAGUAGAGGUCAUGACAUAAACAAACCAAUAGAGAGAGAGUGGUGGGUAGUAGAGGUCAGGACAUAAACUAACCAAUAGAGAGAGUGGCAGGUAGUAGAGGUCAUGACAUAAACAAACCAAUAGAGAGAGUGGCAGGUAGUAGAGGUCAUGACAUAAACAAACCAAUAGAGAGAGUGGCAGGUAGUAGAGGUCAUGACAUAAACUAACCAAUAGAGAGAGUGGCAGGUAGUAGAGGUCAUGACAUAAACAAACCAAUAGAGAGAGUGGCAGGUAGUAGAGGUCAUGACAUAAACUAACCAAUAGAGAGAGUGGCAGGUAGUAGAGGUCAUGACAUAAACAAACCAAUAGAGAGAGUGGCAGGUAGUUGAGGUCAUGAUAUAAACAAACCAAUAGAGAGAGUGGCAGGUAGUAGAGGUCAUGACAUAAACAAACCAAUAGAGAGAGUGGCAGGUAGUAGAGGUCAUGACAUAAACUAACCAAUAGAGAGAGUGGCAGGUAGUAGAGGUCAUGACAUAAACUAACCAAUAGAGAGAGUGGCAGGUAGUAGAGGUCAUGACAUAAACAAACCAAUAGAGAGAGUGGCAGGUAGUAGAGGUCAUGACAUAAACAAACCAAUAGAGAGAGUGGCAGGUAGUAGAGGUCAUGACAUAAACUAACCAAUAGAGAGAGUGGCAGGUAGUAGAGGUCAUGACAUAAACUAACCAAUAGAGAGAGUGGCAGGUAGUAGAGGUCAUGACAUAAACAAACCAAUAGAGAGAGUGGCAGGUAGUAGAGGUCAUGACAUAAACAAACCAAUAGAGAGAGUGGCAGGUAGUAGAGGUCAUGACAUAAACAAACCAAUAGAGAGAGUGGCAGGUAGUAGAGGUCAUGACAUAAACUAACCAAUAGAGAGAGUGGCAGGUAGUAGAGGUCAUGACAUAAACAAACCAAUAGAGAGAGUGGCAGGUAGUAGAGGUCAUGACAUAAACUAACCAAUAGAGAGAGUGGCAGGUAGUAGAGGUCAUGACAUAAACAAACCAAUAGAGAGAGUGGCAGGUAGUAGAGGUCAUGACAUAAACAAACACAUUUAGAGUUUGGGACCAAAAGGUUCUGUCUGCAUAAAGAUUAUUCUGAGAUAAUUGGCUUUACAUUUUCCUCGUUGAUUUGAAUGGUGUCAGCUAUUUUUUAUCUUGUAUUCUUUUGAACUUAACAUGAAUUGGGGUAUUUAGAGUAAUAUAUAUAUAUAUAUAUAUAUAUAUAUAUAUAUAUAUAUGUUGAGAACAUUGAAAAGAACAAGGCUAAAUGUCAAUAACUCAAUUUGAACAAAAAUACAGAUAGACGCUUAACAAACAUUGAAGUAAAACAAGCAUAUAUUUGGGGUUCUGAUAGGGGUAUAACACUUGAACUACACUCAUGAGGAAUUUAUAAACAUUCAAGAAUCAAUAAAUAUCAUACAUUUAUUAGUCAUAAAAUGAUUGCCCCUUUAAAGCAAUAAAUCAUGUUUGAAUGAGUGGUGAGGCAGAGAACAGUAUAAAAGAGUACUUUUGCCUAAAAUGUAUUUGAUCAAUACAGACUUAUUUGCAUAACAGGAUUCUCAACAACAAACAAUUUCUUCCACUUUCUUGAGUCACAGGAGCAACAAA
Molecule: long non-coding RNA, 2392 nt
Organism: Oncorhynchus keta (chum salmon)
Lineage: Eukaryota; Metazoa; Chordata; Actinopteri; Salmoniformes; Salmonidae
Exons: 5
Source: RefSeq, a predicted model, not a curated record